This 69-nucleotide transfer RNA is filed under the name Novacerus sp. FZ-2019. RNAcentral's name for it is "tRNA-Met". The record is from RNAcentral. Lineage: Eukaryota; Metazoa; Arthropoda; Collembola; Entomobryomorpha; Tomoceridae.
AAAAAGAUAAGCUAAAAAAGCUAUUGGGUUCAUACCCCGCCUAUAAAAGUAUAAACCUUUUUCUUUUUA